Plectropomus leopardus (leopard coralgrouper) is the source of this 224-nucleotide non-coding RNA. Lineage: Eukaryota; Metazoa; Chordata; Actinopteri; Perciformes; Serranidae. The record is from RefSeq and is a predicted model, not a curated record.
AGGACGUCUCCGCAGGUGCUGGUCCGGUUCACCUCCAGCCUCACCAGCAGGAAGCCGCCGACAAACAGGUGGACCUUUUUUUAUGCGGCUAAAAUACGUUUUGUUGCUGAUCCCAACUGGGGGGGUGCUGACCACCGUCUACUUGAUAUCUGACAUUAUUUCAUAAGAAAUCUUGUGAGAAUAAGCGUUGAUAUACCGGCUCUAAGAUGCGGUGGAAGCGACCC